Molecule: transfer RNA, 67 nt
Filed under: Megabalanus tintinnabulum
Lineage: Eukaryota; Metazoa; Arthropoda; Thecostraca; Balanomorpha; Balanidae
Description: tRNA-Ile
Source: RNAcentral
AAUAAAGUGCCUGAUAAAAGGAUUACUUUGAUAGAGUAACUCAUGUAAGAUUAGCUUACCUUUAUUA